This 1460-nucleotide ribosomal RNA is filed under the name Acinetobacter bouvetii. Its description in RNAcentral is "bacterial SSU rRNA". It matches the Rfam family "Bacterial small subunit ribosomal RNA". Lineage: Bacteria; Pseudomonadati; Pseudomonadota; Gammaproteobacteria; Moraxellales; Moraxellaceae. The record is from RNAcentral.
AUUGAACGCUGGCGGCAGGCUUAACACAUGCAAGUCGAGCGGGCGAGGUUGCUUCGGUAACUGAGCUAGCGGCGGACGGGUGAGUAAUGCUUAGGAAUCUGCCUAUUAGUGGGGGACAACAUUCCGAAAGGAAUGCUAAUACCGCAUACGCCCUACGGGGGAAAGCAGGGGAUCUUCGGACCUUGCGCUAAUAGAUGAGCCUAAGUCAGAUUAGCUAGUUGGUGGGGUAAAGGCCUACCAAGGCGACGAUCUGUAGCGGGUCUGAGAGGAUGAUCCGCCACACUGGGACUGAGACACGGCCCAGACUCCUACGGGAGGCAGCAGUGGGGAAUAUUGGACAAUGGGCGGAAGCCUGAUCCAGCCAUGCCGCGUGUGUGAAGAAGGCCUUUUGGUUGUAAAGCACUUUAAGCGAGGAGGAGGCUACUUGGAUUAAUACUCUAGGAUAGUGGACGUUACUCGCAGAAUAAGCACCGGCUAACUCUGUGCCAGCAGCCGCGGUAAUACAGAGGGUGCGAGCGUUAAUCGGAUUUACUGGGCGUAAAGCGUGCGUAGGCGGCUUUUUAAGUCGGAUGUGAAAUCCCUGAGCUUAACUUAGGAAUUGCAUUCGAUACUGGGAAGCUAGAGUAUGGGAGAGGAUGGUAGAAUUCCAGGUGUAGCGGUGAAAUGCGUAGAGAUCUGGAGGAAUACCGAUGGCGAAGGCAGCCAUCUGGCCUAAUACUGACGCUGAGGUACGAAAGCAUGGGGAGCAAACAGGAUUAGAUACCCUGGUAGUCCAUGCCGUAAACGAUGUCUACUAGCCGUUGGGGCCUUUGAGGCUUUAGUGGCGCAGCUAACGCGAUAAGUAGACCGCCUGGGGAGUACGGUCGCAAGACUAAAACUCAAAUGAAUUGACGGGGGCCCGCACAAGCGGUGGAGCAUGUGGUUUAAUUCGAUGCAACGCGAAGAACCUUACCUGGUCUUGACAUAGUAAGAACUUUCCAGAGAUGGAUUGGUGCCUUCGGGAACUUACAUACAGGUGCUGCAUGGCUGUCGUCAGCUCGUGUCGUGAGAUGUUGGGUUAAGUCCCGCAACGAGCGCAACCCUUUUCCUUAUUUGCCAGCGGGUUAAGCCGGGAACUUUAAGGAUACUGCCAGUGACAAACUGGAGGAAGGCGGGGACGACGUCAAGUCAUCAUGGCCCUUACGACCAGGGCUACACACGUGCUACAAUGGUCGGUACAAAGGGUUGCUACCUAGCGAUAGGAUGCUAAUCUCAAAAAGCCGAUCGUAGUCCGGAUUGGAGUCUGCAACUCGACUGCGUGAAGUCGGAAUCGCUAGUAAUCGCGGAUCAGAAUGUCGCGGUGAAUACGUUCCCGGGUCUUGUACACACCGCCCGUCACACCAUGGGAGUGGGUUUCACCAGAAGUAGGUAGCCUAACCGUAAGGAGGGCGCUUACCACGGUGGGAUUCAUGACUGGGGUG